CAAUAAAGGCCGACUUCAUUUGGGACUCGGGUGGGGUGGGCUUUGGGAAGGGCCGCUACCCACAGACGUCAGAGGAGCAGGGGUCACACACAUGUCUUGGGAGAAAGCCACUGGAAUCUUGCUUAAAGGGAUACAAUGCUUAUGAAGUCAGAGCCGGGGUUAAGGUUGAGACAGCCAUGUAGUUCUGGAUACGGUACAUUUCAGAGCUCCCAGUUUCUUUUCUGCAAAAUGAGAGUCUUGCACCCCCACCAUGCAUGGCUGGGGUGGCCCAGCUCACAAAGUGGAAAUGGCAAGCCCAAGGGGACAUGGGUUUGAUCUCUGGUCGGGGAACUGAGAUCCCACAUGCUGCAGGGCAACUAAAUCUGCGUGCUGCAACCAGAGAAGCCUAGGCACCGCAAUGAGGACCCAGCACAGCCAAAAAUACAAAAGCUGGUGCUCCAACAUCCUUGUGGGUCCUCUCGGCUCCCCCAACCCCUGCCUCCUCACCGACUGAGCCGCUGCUCCAGGAUACGGAUACGGAACAUGGCCUGAGAGCAGUAACUCAGGAAUCUCCACUUGGUUGGUGAAGGGGAUUUAGAAGCUGGCCUAAAAAAACCAAGCUGGGUCUUGGCAACCAGAGUGGGUAAUGUGAAGGCCCUGUGUGCAGGGGCCAGAGAACUCAAGCCCGUGACCAGGUCACAACCCCCAGGGAAGCCCCCAAGUGGACGUCUUGGCUUGGCCAUAGCUCCUGGAGGUGGUGUGGGGGGACCUGGCCUGUAUCCUGAGCACGUGUUGAAGAGUGAUCAGGGAAAUGGUCAGCUCACAGCAAAGAUGACCACUGUGGUGUCAAUAACUUCAUCGCCUCUAAAGGGCUUCCCCGCAGAAUCCCUAUCAACCUCAGCACCCUG
Long non-coding RNA from Cervus elaphus (red deer), 887 nucleotides. RefSeq lists it as uncharacterized. Lineage: Eukaryota; Metazoa; Chordata; Mammalia; Artiodactyla; Cervidae. The record is from RefSeq and is a predicted model, not a curated record. The transcript is spliced from 3 exons.